AUUUUUGUUUUAUGUUUUGAUCUUCUCAUAUUUGUGUUGAAUCAGCGGAUUGUAAAGACGAAGAACAUGUCCAAAUGUAGCUCCAUGAUCAUCGAGAAGAAAUUAAUGAACAAGACUACUCAUGUGAAGCAAAUGAAAAUUGUAAGGAAGAGAUGCAACACGAGAGAGAGGUACUUGAUCCAUAACCUCUCUAGAAUCAUGACUUCACAGAAUAUUCCCGGAAUUUAUCUAACUUUUGUUUGUUCCCCAUAAAAUUCCGCAAAAUGGGUUGUGGUGGAACCAAAUGGGUGGGUUCUUGUUGACUCAGACAAGUUGGUACAUAAUGACCCGGGCCGUGAGUCCCUACCGGUUCACUCCCACACGGUUCACUCCCACCUUACUAAUGUGUUGUCUCUAAAAACCAUUCUUCUCCGCAUGAAGAACCGAAUGAAGACCAUCAACACUAUUGGGAGGAAGGACAUUCCGAAAACUAUGAUUAAAAAGAUCAAUUGCAUCCAAGUAAUUGAAGUUGCCAUUGCAAUCAACUCUAGAGACAGCGCGAACUGCUCCGUCGGCCAAAUUAUACACUCGGAAAGGAAGCUUUCUAAGUUCGAGGUAACAAUCCAUUAGAUACUUUUUCGAUUAUUUUAGUAA
Molecule: small RNA, 633 nt
Filed under: Arabidopsis thaliana (thale cress)
Lineage: Eukaryota; Viridiplantae; Streptophyta; Magnoliopsida; Brassicales; Brassicaceae
Description: ATSL145640
Source: RNAcentral